UACGUAGGUGACAAGCGUUGUCCGGAUUUACUGGGCGUAAAGAGCGCGCAGGCGGUCGUUCAAGUCGAGUGUGAAAGCCCCCGGCUCAACUGGGGAGGGUCACUCGAUACUGAUCGACUCGAAGGCAGGAGAGGGUAGUGGAAUUCCCGGUGUAGUGGUGAAAUGCGUAGAUAUCGGGAGGAACACCGGUGGCGAAGGCGGCAUCCUGGACCGGCAUUGACGCUGAGGCGCGGAAGCUAGGGGAGCAAACGGG
This 253-nucleotide ribosomal RNA is filed under the name uncultured bacterium. Its description in RNAcentral is "partial 16S ribosomal RNA". It matches the Rfam family "Bacterial small subunit ribosomal RNA", at positions 524 to 776 of the family's 1533-position model. The record is from RNAcentral.